AUAUUGGACAAUGGGCGAAAGCCUGAUCCAGCCAUGCCGCGUGAGUGAUGAAGGCCUUGGGGUUGUAAAGCUCUUUCACCGGUGAAGAUAAUGACGGUAACCGGAGAAGAAGCCCCGGCUAACUUCGUGCCAGCAGCCGCGGUAAUACGAAGGGGGCUAGCGUUGUUCGGAAUUACUGGGCGUAAAGCGCACGUAGGCGGAUUAUUAAGUCAGGGGUGAAAUCCCGCAGCUCAACUGCGGAACUGCCUUUGAUACUGGUAAUCUAGAGACCGAGAGAGGUAAGUGGAACUCCUAGUGUAGAGGUGGAAUUCGUAGAUAUUAGGAAGAACACCAGUGGCGAAGGCGACUGCCUGGACGAUAACUGACGCUGAGGCACGAAAGCUAGGGGAGCAAAC
RNAcentral lists this ribosomal RNA (395 nucleotides) under uncultured bacterium. Its description in RNAcentral is "partial 16S ribosomal RNA". It matches the Rfam family "Bacterial small subunit ribosomal RNA", at positions 361 to 773 of the family's 1533-position model. The record is from RNAcentral.